Molecule: ribosomal RNA, 836 nt
Filed under: Candidatus Brocadia sp. enrichment culture clone ANA-GR-4
Lineage: Bacteria; Pseudomonadati; Planctomycetota; Candidatus Brocadiia; Candidatus Brocadiales; Candidatus Brocadiaceae
Description: bacterial SSU rRNA
Rfam family: Bacterial small subunit ribosomal RNA
Source: RNAcentral
GGAUUAGGCAUGCAAGUCGAACGAGGGAGUGCCUCGAAAGGGGCGCAAACCGAGUGGCGUAAGGGUGAGUAAUGCAUUGAUAACCUGCCUUUGAGAUGGGAAUAACAACGUUCCAAGCAAUUGGGGCUACCGAAAGGGUUGCUAAUACCCAAUAAAACUAUUGCUGCUAUUGGUAGUAAUAGUCAAAUAAAUGGGGUCGAAAGAUUUCAUUUGCUCGAAGAGGGGUCAAUGUCCUAUCAGCUAGUUGGUAGAGUAAUAGCCUACCAAGGCAAAGACGGGUAGCCGGCCUGAGAGGGUGGUCGGCCACACUGGGACUGAGACACUGCCCAGACUCCUACGGGAGGCUGCAGUCGAGAAUCUUUCGCAAUGCCCGAAAGGGUGACGAAGCGACGCCGCGUGCGGGAAGAAGGCCUUCGGGUUGUAAACCGCUGUCGGGAGUUAAGAAAUGCAAGGAUGUUAAUAGCAUCUUUGUUUGACUAAGGCUCCGGAGGAAGCCACGGCUAACUCUGUGCCAGCAGCCGCGGUAAUACAGAGGCGGCAAGCGUUGUUCGGAAUUAUUGGGCGUAAAGAGCACGUAGGCGGCUGUGUAAGUCGGUUGUGAAAGCCUUCCGCUUAACGGAAGAACGGCAUCCGAUACUGCAUAGCUCGAGUGCGGGAGGGGAGAGUGGAACUUCUGGUGGAGCGGUGAAAUGCGUAGAUAUCAGAAGGAACACCGGCGGCGAAGGCGACUCUCUGGCCCGUAACUGACGCUGAGUGUGCGAAAGCUAGGGGAGCAAACGGGAUUAGAUACCCCGGUAGUCCUAGCCGUAAGCGAUGGGCACUAAGUAGAGGGGUUU